GAUCUCGUAAUUGCAUCAUCAGUGGGAAAGUAAGCUCUCUGAGGACCAGGUCUGACUGAGACAUCCCCACAGCGUAGUAGAUUAAUACAUUUUGUGUCUCAGCGUUGCCUGUGAAACGCCAUUUACUCACCAGGCAUGCUGAACGUGGAACCAGGUUUCUUUCUUUCCAAGUAGUUUUGCUAGUUUAGAGAAAGAGAGAGACAGACACAUAAAUACAUACAGAGAAAGAGAAAGUACUGAACCAGGAACAGCAGGGUUUGAGUCAAAAGAGAGGGGCAGAGGAGCGCGUCCCGUGCCCCAAGGCUGCCACACGGAGCGCCGGCGCGAGGUGCCGGUUCCGGGGCCGAGCGCACGCCCGGAAGGUGGGAGGUGGCCAGCAGCGCCCCCGCCUGGCCCCUGUGCGCCCCGACCCGACGCCUCCCCGCCCGACCAGGUGCCUCGAGAGCGCACCGCUGGGAGGGCUCUCCCGGGCUCGGCGACACUCACGCCCGCGGUGUGCUAGGGCGGCGGCGACGGUGACGGGCGUGGGGCGCGGCGCUGCCUCGGCUGCCGGAUCGUUGCAGCGAGCGCUCGGGCCGGCCUGGAGUCUCCGGGCUGAGCCGCCGCGCCUGCAUCGUGCGGCACGCCGCGGAGGCGCUCCGGGACAGACCGCGCGGGCGCGCACAAAGCGGCCCGGAGCGACCCGCGCUGCGCGGACCCUCUGUGGGCAGCGCACCCCAGUCUCCCCCGGCUAGCGGCUGCAGGGAGCUCCGGCCCGCGGCCCCUCCGCCUCAAGUCUGGGAGCUGCCGGCCCCACUCUGUCUUUGCCUAUGGGGAUCCGAGAGUUUCCCAGCGGCGCACCCAGGGGAAAGAGCAUCGCUGUUGGCAUGAGGAGGUCACCGGACGUCAGCCCCCGGAGACUGUCCGACAUCAGCCCCCAGCUCCGGCAGCUCAAGUACUUGGUGGUGGACGAGGCGAUUAAGGAGGAUCUGAAAUGGUCGCGCUCCGUGGAAGAUCUCACCAGCGGGCCCGUGGGGCUCACGUCCAUCGAGGAGCGGAUCCUGCGCAUCACUGGCUACUAUGGCUACCAGCCCUGGGCAGCGAGCUGCAAAAGUAAGACCCCCUCCAGUCAUUUUCCUCCUCCGCCGGUCUGUCUCGUUACCAUUGUCACAGCAGCCUCGGGGAGCGCAUGCAGCGAGGUGUCCAGCCACCCCGUCCCGCCCUGCCUGCUGAUACAGACCCAGGUUUGCAACUUUGAGGAAGAGGCCUGGAGACGGAGUUCUCCUGGACCUCUGAGGCUUUCUGAUGUGUUCUCUUACACUCCUUCUUCUCCCACACACAGGAUCUCUCUGUAUCCUUAUCCCUCCGCCUCCAAAUGUGGGGGACACUCUUAUGUGGCAGAUCAUAGGAAACAGAUCAGAAACUCAAAGUAUCCCGGACAGUGUAGCUUCCCCGUGGAUCAGAAAGUCUCACAGGGCCCUGGGUCAGGUCUCACCAGGCUCAGCUGGAGAUGCUGACUUAGGUAGCCAGGAUUGUAACUCUUCCUUGCAUCUCCUAGCCCAGAUGAUAGAGAACAAUUCUUGGGGUCUUCAUUUUAGAUGCUAUUCACGCCCUUUUCCCCUGGAUUUUAUCGGUCUUCGGUAAGGAGGUUCUAUAGGGAUCUCUCUAGUUAGUGGUGUUGGUCCAAGCAAGAUGAAUGUUUGGUGUCAGGUGGAGAAGCUGAAAUGGUUUUCUGCCAGUGGGUCCCAGCUAAUGACUUUGAGGAUGCUAUGAUCAAUUAGACAGACAUUAUCUUAUGUCACCAGGACUAAUUUGAUGUACA
Long non-coding RNA from Rhinopithecus bieti (black snub-nosed monkey), 1801 nucleotides. The record is from Ensembl. NCBI's taxonomy places the organism in Eukaryota, Metazoa, Chordata, Mammalia, Primates, Cercopithecidae.